This 301-nucleotide ribosomal RNA is filed under the name uncultured bacterium. Its description in RNAcentral is "partial 16S ribosomal RNA". It matches the Rfam family "Bacterial small subunit ribosomal RNA", at positions 509 to 807 of the family's 1533-position model. The record is from RNAcentral.
CAGUCGCCACGGGAAUACGUAGGUGGCAAGCGUUGUCCGGAAUUAUUGGGCGUAAAGGGCUCGCAGGCGGUUUCUUAAGUCUGAUGUGAAAGCCCCCGGCUCAACCGGGGAGGGUCAUUGGAAACUGGGAAACUUGAGUGCAGAAGAGGAGAGUGGAAUUCCACGUGUAGCGGUGAAAUGCGUAGAGAUGUGGAGGAACACCAGUGGCGAAGGCGACCCUCUGGUCUGUAACUGACGCUGAGGAGCGAAAGCGUGGGGAGCGAACAGGAUUAGAUACCCGAGUAGUCCCUGUCUCUUAUAC